This 66-nucleotide transfer RNA is filed under the name Plestiodon chinensis. Its description in RNAcentral is "tRNA-Lys". It matches the Rfam family "tRNA". From Rfam's summary of the family: Transfer RNA (tRNA) molecules are approximately 80 nucleotides in length. The record is from RNAcentral. Lineage: Eukaryota; Metazoa; Chordata; Lepidosauria; Squamata; Scincidae.
CUCCAAGAAGCUUUUACAGCACUAGCCUUUUAAGCUAGAGAAGGGGACUAAAACCCCCCUUGGUGA